Molecule: unclassified non-coding RNA, 200 nt
Filed under: soil metagenome
Description: partial contains internal transcribed spacer 2 and large subunit ribosomal RNA
Source: RNAcentral
GGAUGUUGCCGUGUAACAAACGGCUCGUCUGAAAUGCCUGAGUGUACCCUGCUUUGCGGCGUAUUUGGUGUGAUAAAUCUUCACCGGAGUCUGACUUUUGGGUCGCGCUUGUAUUGUUGGCUCUAUGCUUCCAACCGUCCUAACAAGACAAUCUUUGACAAUUUGACCUCAAAUCGGGUGGGACUACCCGCUGAGCUUAA